This is a long non-coding RNA of Peromyscus eremicus (cactus mouse), 529 nucleotides long. RefSeq lists it as uncharacterized. Lineage: Eukaryota; Metazoa; Chordata; Mammalia; Rodentia; Cricetidae. The transcript is spliced from 3 exons. The record is from RefSeq and is a predicted model, not a curated record.
UAGCUCCUUAUCUUCAUAUGUGAAUCUAUGACAUGGAGUAAUCACAGAAGCCAGGAAAAUAUAAAAGGACCAUGAGUGGUGAUGGGGGAACCAGAAAGAUAUACGUGACAUGAAGUGGGAAAUGGAAACAUGGACCUCCAACUAGAGGAGGGAGCAAUUUAAAAGUUGAAAGAAGACAUGCACCUGUCAUCAUAUUAAAUGACAAAAGAGCUAAAGAGAAGCAGAACACGGAGGACAUGUGAUAAAUAACUAAGAGUUUCAUCUUGGGAAGAAAGUCCAAGGAAAACUACUAAGAAACUUAAGCUGAUCCUCAAGUUUCAAAUAGAAGAAAAAUUUCCCCACUCAACAGACAGCAGAGAAAAGGAAAGAAAAUGCAACAAAACAUAAAAAUGAUAAGUAGAAGUAAGGAAAUAGAAAUUAAAGUUCAUAAGACAAUAAUAUAAUGGAUAUAUAUGAAUGUGUUUAAACCAUCCACGAGAAGACAGAUACUCUGAAAUUGAAAUAAAAUUAUUAGUCUGUAAAACAAUAU